GAACGCGAAGAACCUUACCAGGUCUUGACAUCCCUCUGACCGCUCUAGAGAUAGAGUUUUCCUUCGGGACAGAGGUGACAGGUGGUGCAUGGUUGUCGUCAGCUCGUGUCGUGAGAUGUUGGGUUAAGUCCCGCAACGAGCGCAACCCCUAUUGUUAGUUGCCAUCAUUUAGUUGGGCACUCUAGCGAGACUGCCGGUAAUAAACCGGAGGAAGGUGGGGAUGACGUCAAAUCAUCAUGCCCCUUAUGACCUGGGCUACACACGUGCUACAAUGGCUGGUACAACGAGUCGCAAGCCGGUGACGGCAAGCUAAUCUCUUAAAGCCAGUCUCAGUUCGGAUUGUAGGCUGCAACUCGCCUACAUGAAGUCGGAAUCGCUAGUAAUCGCGGAUCAGCACGCCGCGGUGAAUACGUUCCCGGGUCUUGUACACACC
RNAcentral lists this ribosomal RNA (433 nucleotides) under uncultured bacterium. Its description in RNAcentral is "bacterial SSU rRNA". It matches the Rfam family "Bacterial small subunit ribosomal RNA", at positions 957 to 1391 of the family's 1533-position model. The record is from RNAcentral.